AUUUAAAUAGUUUAAAAAAAAUAUUAGAUUGUGGAUCUAAAGAUAUAUAAAUAUAUUUUAAAUU
RNAcentral lists this transfer RNA (64 nucleotides) under Vespa crabro (European hornet). RNAcentral's name for it is "tRNA-His". The record is from RNAcentral. Lineage: Eukaryota; Metazoa; Arthropoda; Insecta; Hymenoptera; Vespidae.